CCUACGGGAGGCAGCAGUCGAGAAUCAUUCACAAUGGGGGAAACCCUGAUGGUGCGACGCCGCGUGGGGGAAUGAAGGUCUUCGGAUUGUAAACCCCUGUCAUGUGGGAGCAAAUUAAAAAGAUAGUACCACAAGAGGAAGAGACGGCUAACUCUGUGCCAGCAGCCGCGGUAAUACAGAGGUCUCAAGCGUUGUUCGGAAUCACUGGGCGUAAGGCGUGCGUAGGCUGUUUCGUAAGUCGGGUGUGAAAGGCGCGGGCUCAACCCGCGGACGGCACAUGAUACUGCGAGACUAGAGUAAUGGAGGGGGAACCGGAAUUCUCGGUGUAGCAGUGAAAUGCGUAGAUAUCGAGAGGAACACUCGUGGCGAAGGCGGGUUCCUGGACAUUAACUGACGCUGAGGCACGAAGGCCAGGGGAGCGAAAGGGAUUAGAUACCCCUGUAGUC
This 446-nucleotide ribosomal RNA is filed under the name uncultured bacterium. RNAcentral's name for it is "partial 16S ribosomal RNA". It matches the Rfam family "Bacterial small subunit ribosomal RNA", at positions 338 to 795 of the family's 1533-position model. The record is from RNAcentral.